Molecule: long non-coding RNA, 548 nt
Organism: Ruditapes philippinarum (Manila clam)
Lineage: Eukaryota; Metazoa; Mollusca; Bivalvia; Venerida; Veneridae
Exons: 2
Source: RefSeq, a predicted model, not a curated record
AUCCAUGUGCAAUAGCCUAUGUUCAACUACCAGAUAAUGUAUGUAAAAUUGGCAGAUUAAUGUUUUCAGACACGACUGCAAUUACUAUUUAUCACAUAUAUAAUUAUGUUGAUAUUUUUCAAUUACAUUAAAACACAUUUCAGUAUUUUGUGUGUCGGUAAGCUACUAUGCCCCUAAAGGCCUUCGUAAUGUUAUUGUUGUAGGAAGCUGUUUCCUGUGUCAAGGACCACCUCAAAUAUGUGAAAAGGUAAAUUUUCCAGCAGACUGUCCACUUGAGAAACAGUAUUGUAUAAAUACACUCACAAACUUCAGGAAUGCAUCAAGACUCGUUGAAAUGAAAUGUGGAACGAGAGAUGAUUGUCAAAAAGGAUGGUUCGAGAAAUACUCAUCGGACGACAAAUGUACGGCUUUCGACCAGGCUUUUAUCUAUACGAACCAGUUUAGUUGUGAAUUUUGUUGCGCUUCUGAUAAUUGUAACCAAUUUGUUAAUCCACCAAAUAAAUGGCAUCCAUAAAACGUGGUUAAUUAAGUUAACCAACGAAAUAAUG